This 109-nucleotide small nuclear RNA is filed under the name Ochotona princeps (American pika). The record is from RNAcentral. Lineage: Eukaryota; Metazoa; Chordata; Mammalia; Lagomorpha; Ochotonidae.
GUGCUUGCUUCAGCAACACAUAUACUAAAAUUGGAACGAUACAGAGAAGAUUAGCAUGGCUCCUGCGUGCAAGGAUGACAUUCAAAUUCGUGAAGCGUUCCAUAUUUUU